Molecule: non-coding RNA, 107 nt
Organism: Prunus persica (peach)
Lineage: Eukaryota; Viridiplantae; Streptophyta; Magnoliopsida; Rosales; Rosaceae
Source: Rfam
GAAUACCAUUAUUUUGCUAUUCACGGUCAAUAACACAAUGACACGUAAAAAAAUUAUCUUAAGUGUUAUUGUGUUAUUAAUCGAGAAUACCAAAAAGUAAUAUCUCC